Molecule: ribosomal RNA, 365 nt
Filed under: uncultured Oscillospiraceae bacterium
Lineage: Bacteria; Bacillati; Bacillota; Clostridia; Eubacteriales; Oscillospiraceae
Description: bacterial SSU rRNA
Rfam family: Bacterial small subunit ribosomal RNA
Source: RNAcentral
GAUAAACGCUGGCGGCGCACAUAAGACAUGCAAGUCGAACGGAAGUCGUUGUAAUGAAAUCAAAAAGAACGGAGAACUUGUUCGAAGGAAAUGGAGAUAGACUUACAACAAUGGCUUUAGUGGCGGACUGGUGAGUAACACGUAAGCAACCUGCCUGUUAGAGGGGGAACAACAGUUAGAAAUGACUGCUAAUACCGCAUAUGCCUUAGUAACGCAUGUUACAAAAGGGAAAGGAGCAAUCCGCUAACAGAUGGGCUUGCGUCUGAUUAGAUAGUUGGUGGGGUAAAGGCCUACCAAGUCGACGAUCAGUAGCCGGACUGAGAGGUUGAACGGCCACAUUGGGACUGAGAUACGGCCCAGACUCC